RNAcentral lists this ribosomal RNA (253 nucleotides) under uncultured bacterium. Its description in RNAcentral is "partial 16S ribosomal RNA". It matches the Rfam family "Bacterial small subunit ribosomal RNA", at positions 524 to 776 of the family's 1533-position model. The record is from RNAcentral.
UACAGAGGUCCCGAGCGUUGUUCGGAUUCAUUGGGCGUAAAGGGUGCGUAGGCGGCGGGGUAAGUUUGAUGUGAAAUUCCGGGGCUCAACCCUGGCAUAGCAUUGAAUACUACCUUGCUAGAGUACCGGAGAGGAAACUGGAAUUUACGGUGUAGCAGUGAAAUGCGUAGAGAUCGUAAGGAAGACCAGUGGCGAAGGCGAGUUUCUGGACGGUAACUGACGCUGAGGCACGAAGGCCAGGGGAGCAAACGGG